AUCAACUUUCGAUGGUAGGAUAGAGGCCUACCAUGGUGGUAACGGGUAACGGGGUGUUAGGGCACGACACCGGAGAGGGAGCCUGAGAAACGGCUACCACAUCCAAGGAUGGCAGCAGGCGCGCAAAUUACCCAAUCCCGACACGGGGAGGUAGUGACAAUAAAUAACAAUACGGGGUUCUUUCGGAUCUCGUAAUUGGAAUGAGUACAAUUUAAAUCUCUUAACGAGGAACAAUUGGAGGGCAAGUCUGGUGCCAGCAGCCGCGGUAAUUCCAGCUCCAAUAGCGUAUAUUAAAGUUGUUGCAGUUAAAAAGCUCGUAGUUGAAUUUCGGGGUUAGUAGGCUGGUCAUGCCACCGGUAUGUACUGGUCUUACUGAUUCCUCCUUCCUGAUGAACUGUAAUGCCAUUAAUUUGGUGUUGCAGGGAAUCUGGACUGUUACUUUGAAAAAAUUAGAGUGUUUAAAGCAGGCUAACGCUUGAAUACAUUAGCAUGGAAUAAUGAAAUAGGACGUUCGGUCUUAUUUUGUUGGUUUCUAAGAUUGACGUAAUGAUUAAUAGGGAUAGUUGGGGGCAUUAGUAUUCAAUUGUCAGAGGUGAAAUUCUUGGAUUUAUUGAAGACUAACUACUGCGAAAGCAUUUGCCAAGGAUGUUUUCAUUAAUCAAGAACGAAAGUUAGGGGAUCGAAGACGAUCAGAUACCGUCGUAGUCUUAACCAUAAACUAUGCCGACUAGGGAUCGGAUGAUGUUAAUUUUUUAAUGACUCAUUCGGCGCCUUACGGGAAACCAAAGUGUUUGGGUUC
RNAcentral lists this ribosomal RNA (799 nucleotides) under uncultured Glomus. RNAcentral's name for it is "SSU rRNA". It matches the Rfam family "Eukaryotic small subunit ribosomal RNA", at positions 314 to 1114 of the family's 1831-position model. Lineage: Eukaryota; Fungi; Glomeromycota; Glomeromycetes; Glomerales; Glomeraceae. The record is from RNAcentral.